This 72-nucleotide transfer RNA is filed under the name Oceanobacillus picturae. It matches the Rfam family "tRNA". Rfam says of the family: Transfer RNA (tRNA) molecules are approximately 80 nucleotides in length. Their secondary structure includes four short double-helical elements and three loops (D, anti-codon, and T loops). Further hydrogen bonds mediate the characteristic L-shaped molecular structure. tRNAs have two regions of fundamental functional importance: the anti-codon, which is responsible for specific mRNA codon recognition, and the 3' end, to which the tRNAs corresponding amino acid is attached (by aminoacyl-tRNA synthetases). tRNAs cope with the degeneracy of the genetic code in two manners: having more than one tRNA (with a specific anti-codon) for a particular amino acid; and 'wobble' base-pairing, i.e. permitting non-standard base-pairing at the 3rd anti-codon position. Lineage: Bacteria; Bacillati; Bacillota; Bacilli; Caryophanales; Bacillaceae. The record is from Rfam by way of RNAcentral.
GGAGGAUUAGCUCAGCUGGGAGAGCACCUGCCUUACAAGCAGGAGGUCGCGGUUCGAUCCCUGCAUCCUCCA